AUUGAACGCUGGCGGCAGGCUUAACACAUGCAAGUGGAGCGGGGUGAUGGUGCUUGCACUAUCACUUAGCGGCGGACGGGUGAGUAAUGCUUAGGAAUCUGCCUAUUAGUGGGGGACAACAUCUCGAAAGGGAUGCUAAUACCGCAUACGUCCUACGGGAGAAAGCAGGGGAUCACUUGUGACCUUGCGCUAAUAGAUGAGCCUAAGUCGGAUUAGCUAGUUGGUGGGGUAAAGGCCUACCAAGGCGACGAUCUGUAGCGGGUCUGAGAGGAUGAUCCGCCACACUGGGACUGAGACACGGCCCAGAAUCCUACGGGAGGCAGCAGUGGGGAAUAUUGGACAAUGGGGGGAACCCUGAUCCAGCCAUGCCGCGUGUGUGAAGAAGGCCUUAUGGUUGUAAAGCACUUUAAGCGAGGAGGAGGCUCUUUUGGUUAAUACCCAAGAUGAGUGGACGUUACUCGCAGAAUAAGCACCGGCUAACUCUGUGCCAGCAGCCGCGGUAA
Molecule: ribosomal RNA, 503 nt
Filed under: uncultured bacterium
Lineage: Bacteria
Description: partial 16S ribosomal RNA
Rfam family: Bacterial small subunit ribosomal RNA
Source: RNAcentral